GACGAACGCUGGCGGCGUGCCUAAUACAUGCAAGUAGAACGCUGAAGAGAGGAGCUUGCUCUUCUUGGAUGAGUUGCGAACGGGUGAGUAACGCGUAGGUAACCUGCCUGGUAGCGGGGGAUAACUAUUGGAAACGAUAGCUAAUACCGCAUAAAAUGGAUUAUCGCAUGAUAAUCCAUUGAAAGGUGCAAAUGCAUCACUACCAGAUGGACCUUCGUUGUAUUAGCUAGUUGGUGGGGUAACGGCUCACCAAGGCGACGAUACAUAGCCGACCUGAGAGGGUGAUCGGCCACACUGGGACUGAGACACGGCCCAGACUCCUACGGGAGGCAGCAGUAGGGAAUCUUCGGCAAUGGACGGAAGUCUGACCGAGCAACGCCGCGUGAGUGAAGAAGGUUUUCGGAUCGUAAAGCUCUGUUGUAAGAGAAGAACGAGUGUGAGAGUGGAAAGUUCACACUGUGACGGUAUCUUACCAGAAAGGGACGGCUAACUACGUG
RNAcentral lists this ribosomal RNA (497 nucleotides) under uncultured bacterium. RNAcentral describes it as "partial 16S ribosomal RNA". It matches the Rfam family "Bacterial small subunit ribosomal RNA", at positions 28 to 507 of the family's 1533-position model. The record is from RNAcentral.